GUGGGGAAUAUUGGGCAAUGGGCGAAAGCCUGACCCAGCAACGCCGCGUGAAGGAAGAAGGUUUUCGGAUCGUAAACUUCUAUCCUUGGUGAAGAUAAUGACGGUAGCCAAGAAGGAAGCCCCGGCUAACUACGUGCCAGCAGCCGCGGUAAUACGUAGGGGGCAAGCGUUGUCCGGAAUGAUUGGGCGUAAAGGGCGCGUAGGCGGCCCGGUAAGUCUGAAGUGAAAGUCCUGCUUUUAAGGUGGGAAUUGCUUUGGAUACUGUCGGGCUUGAGUGCAGGAGAGGUAAGCGGAAUUCCCGGUGUAGCGGUGAAAUGCGUAGAGAUCGGGAGGAACACCAGUGGCGAAGGCGGCUUACUGGACUGUAACUGACGCUGAGGCGCGAAAGCCAGGGGAGCAAACGGGAUUAGAAACCCGGGUAGUCC
This 425-nucleotide ribosomal RNA is filed under the name uncultured bacterium. RNAcentral's name for it is "partial 16S ribosomal RNA". It matches the Rfam family "Bacterial small subunit ribosomal RNA", at positions 354 to 796 of the family's 1533-position model. The record is from RNAcentral.